CGUAGGGUGCAGGCGUUAAUCGGAAUUACUGGGCGUAAAGCGUGCGCAGGCGGCUCCUUAAGUCAGAUGUGAAAUCCCCGGGCUUAACCUGGGAACUGCGUUUGAAACUGGGGAGCUCGAGUGUGGAAGAGGGGGGUGGAAUUCCAGGUGUAGCAGUGAAAUGCGUAGAGAUCUGGAGGAACACCGAUGGCGAAGGCAGCCCCCUGGGCUAACACUGACGCUCAUGCACGAAAGCGUGGGGAGCAAACAGGAUUAGAUACCCUGGUAGUCCACGCCCUAAACGAUGUCAACUGGUUGUCGGGGAAGCAAUUCCUUGGUAACGAAGCUAACGCGUGAAGUUGACCGCCUGGGGAGUACGGCCGCAAGGUUA
RNAcentral lists this ribosomal RNA (370 nucleotides) under uncultured organism. Its description in RNAcentral is "bacterial SSU rRNA". It matches the Rfam family "Bacterial small subunit ribosomal RNA", at positions 526 to 896 of the family's 1533-position model. The record is from RNAcentral.